GAUGAACGCUGACAGAAUGCUUAACACAUGCAAGUCAUUGGCGAAGCUGCGCUUGCGCAGUCUAGCCAAGGCGGACGGGUGAGUAACGCGUAAGGAACUUGCCCUGCAGACAGGGAUAACAGACGGAAACGACUGAUAACACCUGGUAUUGUCAGGCUGGCGCAUGCCGGCCUGAUGAAAGGAGACGCUGCAGGAGAGCCUUGCGUCCUAUUAGCUAGUUGGUGGGGUAACGGCCCACCAAGGCGAUGAUAGGUAGCCGGCCUGAGAGGGUGAACGGCCACAAGGGGACUGAGAGACGGCCCUUACUCCUACGGGAGGCAGCAGGGGGGAAUAUUGGACAAUGGGGGCAACCCUGAUCCAGCAAUUCUGUGUGCACGAAGAAGGUUUUCGGAUUGUAAAGUGCUUUCAGCAGGGAAGAAGAAAGUGACGGUACCUGCAGAAGAAGCGACGGCUAAAUACGUG
Molecule: ribosomal RNA, 462 nt
Filed under: uncultured bacterium
Lineage: Bacteria
Description: partial 16S ribosomal RNA
Rfam family: Bacterial small subunit ribosomal RNA
Source: RNAcentral